UGCGUAGGCGGUUUGUUAAGUCUGAUGUGAAAGCCCUGGGCUCAACCUGGGAAUGGCAUUGGAUACUGGCAACCUAGAAUGUGGUAGAGGGUGGCGGAAUUCCCGGUGUAGCAGUGAAAUGCGUAGAUAUCGGGAGGAACAUCCGUGGCGAAGGCGGCCACCUGGACCAACAUUGACGCUGAGGCACGAAAGCGUGGGGAGCAAACAGGAUUAGAUACCCUGGUAGUCCACGCCCUAAACGAUGCGAACUGGAUGUUGGGCUCAAUUGAGAGCUCAGUAUCGAAGCUAACGCGUUAAGUUCGCCGCCUGGGAAGUACGGUCGCAAGACUGAA
Molecule: ribosomal RNA, 332 nt
Filed under: uncultured Pseudomonadota bacterium
Lineage: Bacteria; Pseudomonadati; Pseudomonadota
Description: bacterial SSU rRNA
Rfam family: Bacterial small subunit ribosomal RNA
Source: RNAcentral